ACAUGCAAGUCGAACGAAGUAGCAAUACUUAGUGGCAGACGGGUGAGUAACAUGUAGGUAUCUGCCCUUUGGCCUGGAAUAACACGAGGAAACUUGUGCUAAUACCGGAUAAGUCUUUACGGAGAAAGCUUUAUGCACCAUUGGAUGAGCCUGCACUUGAUUAGUUUGUUGGUGGGGUAAUGGCCUACCAAGACUGUGAUCAAUAGCUGAUUUGAGAGGAUGAUCAGCCACAUUGGGACUGAGACACGGCCCAAACUCCUACGGGAGGCAGCAGUGGGGAAUCUUGCACAAUGGAGGAAACUCUGAUGCAGCGAUGCCGCGUGAGUGAAGAAGGCCUUUGGGUUGUAAAGCUCUUUCGUCGGGGAAGAAAAUGACUGUACCCGAAUAAGAAGGUCCGGCUAACUUCGUGCCAGCAGCCGCGGUAAUACGAAGGGACCUAGCGUAGUUCGGAAUUACUGGGCUUAAAGAGUUCGUAGGUGGUUGAAAAAGUUGGUGGUGAAAUCCCAGAGCUUAACUCUGGAACUGCCAUCAAAACUUUUCAGCUAGAGUAUGAUAGAGGAAAGCAGAAUUUCUAGUGUAGAGGUGAAAUUCGUAGAUAUUAGAAAGAAUACCAAUUGCGAAGGCAGCUUUCUGGAUCAUUACUGACACUGAGGAACGAAAGCAUGGGUAGCGAAGAGGAUUAGAUACCCUCGUAGUCCAUGCCGUAAACGAUGUGUGUUAGACGUUGGAAAUUUAUUUUCAGUGUCGCAGCGAAAGCGAUAAACACACCGCCUGGGGAGUACGACC
Molecule: ribosomal RNA, 786 nt
Filed under: uncultured Pelagibacteraceae bacterium
Lineage: Bacteria; Pseudomonadati; Pseudomonadota; Alphaproteobacteria; Candidatus Pelagibacterales; Candidatus Pelagibacteraceae
Description: bacterial SSU rRNA
Rfam family: Bacterial small subunit ribosomal RNA
Source: RNAcentral